GUGUGUGUGUGUGUGUGUGUGUAUAUAUAUAUUGUGUGUAUAUAUAUAUAUAUAUAUUGUGUAUAUAUACACACACACACACACACACAC
Podarcis lilfordi (Lilford's wall lizard) is the source of this 90-nucleotide non-coding RNA. The record is from the annotation of a GenBank genome assembly. Lineage: Eukaryota; Metazoa; Chordata; Lepidosauria; Squamata; Lacertidae.